UAUUAAGUGGCCGAACUAUUAAGCACUAGAUUUUUAAUCUAGAAAAUGAUUAUUAAAUCCUUAAUGG
This 67-nucleotide transfer RNA is filed under the name Rhombosepion elegans. Its description in RNAcentral is "tRNA-Lys". Lineage: Eukaryota; Metazoa; Mollusca; Cephalopoda; Sepiida; Sepiidae. The record is from RNAcentral.